RNAcentral lists this ribosomal RNA (574 nucleotides) under uncultured euryarchaeote. RNAcentral describes it as "bacterial SSU rRNA". It matches the Rfam family "Archaeal small subunit ribosomal RNA", at positions 827 to 1406 of the family's 1478-position model. The record is from RNAcentral. Lineage: Archaea; Methanobacteriati; Methanobacteriota.
CCUGGGAAGUACGGUCGCAAGGCUGAAACUUAAAGAAAUUGGCGGGGGAGCACCACAAGGGGUGGGACCUGCGGUUUAAUUGGAUUCAACGCCGGACAACUCACCAGGGGCGACAGUUGGUUGAAGGCCAGGUUGAUGACCUUGCCAGACUAGCUGAGAGGUGGUGCAUGGCCGUCGUCAGCUCGUACCGUGAGGCGUCCUGUCAAGUCAGGUAACGAGCGAGACCCUUGCCCUUAGUUGCCAUCGAUGGGAAGUCGGGCACUCUAAGGGGACCGCUGGUGCUAAACCAGAGGAAGGAGAGGGCGACGAUAGGUCCGUAUGCCCCGAAUCUCCUGGGCUACACGCGGGUCACAAUGCGCAGGACAAUGGGAUGCAAUGCCGUAAGGCAAAGCCAAGCCCUUAAACCUGCGCUUAGUUCGAAUCGAGGGCUGAAACUCGCCCUCGUGAAGCUGGAAUCCCUAGUAAUCGCGAGCCACUAUCUCGCGGUGAAUACGUCCCUGCUCCUUGCACACACCGCCCGUCAAGCCACUCGAGUGGGGUCUGGAUGAGGCUUACUCAGAAUUGGGUGGAUCGA